CGGCCUUGAAAUACCACCCUUUAAUGUUUGAUGUUCUAACGUGGACCCGUGAUCCGGGUUGCGGACAGUGUCUGGUGGGUAGUUUGACUGGGGCGGUCUCCUCCUAAAGAGUAACGGAGGAGCACGAAGGUUGGCUAAUCCUGGUCGGACAUCAGGAGGUUAGUGCAAUGGCAUAAGCCAGCUUGACUGCGAGCGUGACGGCGCGAGCAGGUGCGAAAGCAGGUCAUAGUGAUCCGGUGGUUCUGAAUGGAAGGGCCAUCGCUCAACGGAUAAAAGGUACUCCGGGGAUAACAGGCUGAUACCGCCCAAGAGUUCAUAUCGACGGCGGUGUUUGGCACCUCGAUGUCGGCUCAUCACAUCCUGGGGCUGAAGUAGGUCCCAAGGGUAUGGCUGUUCGCCAUUUAAAGUGGUACGCGAGCUGGGUUUAGAACGUCGUGAGACAGUUCGGUCCCUAUCUGCCGUGGGCGCUGGAGAACUGAGGGGGGCUGCUCCUAGUACGAGAGGACCGGAGUGGACGCAUCACUGGUGUUCGGGUUGUCAUGCCAAUGGCACUGCCCGGUAGCUAAAUGCGGAAGAGAUAAGUGCUGAAAGCAUCUAAGCACGAAACUUGCCCCGAGAUGAGUUCUCCCUGACCCUUUAAGGGUCCUGAAGGAACGUUGAAGACGACGACGUUGAUAGGCCGGGUGUGUAAGCGCAGCGAUGCGUUGAGCUAACCGGUACUAAUGAACCGUGAGG
Molecule: ribosomal RNA, 735 nt
Filed under: Escherichia coli
Lineage: Bacteria; Pseudomonadati; Pseudomonadota; Gammaproteobacteria; Enterobacterales; Enterobacteriaceae
Also listed under: 2 other names
Description: partial 23S ribosomal RNA
Rfam family: Bacterial large subunit ribosomal RNA
Source: RNAcentral